AGAGUUUGAUCCUGGCUCAGAAUGAACGCUGGCGGCGUGCUUAACACAUGCAAGUCGCACGAGAACUCUUUAGCUUGCUAAAGAUAGUAAAGUGGCGCACGGGUGAGUAACGCGUAAGUUAUCUACCUCGGCAUCCGGAAUAACUCACCGAAAGGUGUGCUAAUACCGGAUACGUUGAGUAAUCAAGAAAGGUGGCCUCUGAAUAUGCUACUGUGCUGAGAUGAGCUUGCGUACCAUUAGCUAGUUGGUAGGGUAAUGGCCUACCAAGGCAACGAUGGUUAGCGGGUCUGAGAGGAUGAUCCGCCACACUGGAACUGAAACACGGACCAGACUCCUACGGGAGGCAGCAGUGGGGAAUUUUGCGCAAUGGACGAAAGUCUGACGCAGCAACGCCGCGUGGGUGAUGAAGGUCUUCGGACUGUAAAACCCUGUCGUCAGGGACGAAGGUUGGGGGGUUAAUAGCCCUUUAGCUUGACGGUACCUGGAGAGGAAGCCCCGGCUAACUCUGUGCCAGCAGCCGCGGUAAUACAGAGGGGGCAAGCGUUAUUCGGAAUUAUUGGGCGUAAAGGGCGCGUAGGCGGUUUGUUAAGUCAGAUGUGUAAUCCCCGAGCUCAACUUGGGAACUGCAUCCAAGACUGGAUCGCUAGAGUGCUGGAGAGGGUGGUGGAAUUCCUCGUGUAGCGGUGAAAUGCGUAGAGAUGAGGAGGAACACCAGUGGCGAAGGCGGCCACCUGGACAGUAACUGACGCUGAGGCGCGAAAGUGUGGGUAGCAAACAGGAUUAGAUACCCUGGUAGUCC
RNAcentral lists this ribosomal RNA (799 nucleotides) under uncultured bacterium. RNAcentral describes it as "bacterial SSU rRNA". It matches the Rfam family "Bacterial small subunit ribosomal RNA", at positions 8 to 796 of the family's 1533-position model. The record is from RNAcentral.